This 180-nucleotide ribosomal RNA is filed under the name uncultured Glomeromycotina. RNAcentral describes it as "partial small subunit ribosomal RNA". Lineage: Eukaryota; Fungi; Glomeromycota. The record is from RNAcentral.
GGGUCAGUAGAUUGGUCGUGCCACUGGUAUGCACUGGUCUUACUGGCUCCUCCUUCCUGAUGAACCGUAAUGCCAUUAAUUUGGUGUUGCGGGGAGACUGGACUGUUACUUUGAAAAAAUUAGAGUGUUCAAAGCAGGCUUACGUCUGAAUACAUUAGCAUGGAAUAAUAAAAUAGGACG